UUCAGAUCUUGAUGACUGUACGUUUAAAACUUGUAAAGAAUCUGAAGAAUGUAAAUCUGGGAAAUGUGAAAAAAUAAAGAACUGCAAAAAUGAUUCGUGUAAAGACAAAGACAAUAGCAAAUGUGAAGAAAACUAUGAAGACCCAGUAAAUGUUAAAUGCAUUUGUAAUAAAGGAUUUGUCGAAUCUGGUGCAAAGUGUUUUAAUGAAAGUAAGUAUAGAGAAGAAAGUGCUUAACAUAGCAAAAGUUUUCUUGAUCAACCAAAU
This is a long non-coding RNA of Limulus polyphemus (Atlantic horseshoe crab), 265 nucleotides long. RefSeq lists it as uncharacterized. Lineage: Eukaryota; Metazoa; Arthropoda; Merostomata; Xiphosura; Limulidae. The transcript has 3 exons. The record is from RefSeq and is a predicted model, not a curated record.